This is an RNA transcript of Bactrocera dorsalis (oriental fruit fly), 776 nucleotides long. RefSeq lists it as uncharacterized. The transcript has 2 exons. The record is from RefSeq and is a predicted model, not a curated record. Lineage: Eukaryota; Metazoa; Arthropoda; Insecta; Diptera; Tephritidae.
UAUAGGUGUGUAUAAUAUGAAAAUUGCUAUAUCGAUCUCUUAAAGCUUUGAUGAAUCUUCGCAUUUAAAUUGUGAUUAGGCCUUAACUGAAUUCAAAGUAGAAGUGAAUGUAUAUUGAGUUACGGGUUUGAGUUCUAGAAUAAUUAUGGCAAGUUAGGCAAUAAAAAUAGUGCAACAUUAACUGUUUUUGUGGAAAGCUUAAGUAGAAAGUACAAAAACAAAGUGAGAUUUAUUGCAGUAUGUUCUCCUAAUGUCUUAAUGUAUAAACAACUAUAAAAAAACACACCAUGUAUGUACAUAUUUACAAAUAUACAUUACCUAAUGCAAUUUUAUGGCACUCGUCCACAUGGGGCUCUUUUGUCCGUUGACAUGAAUACGUCUACACCUAACCCUUUGUUCUCAGAUUGAUAACAAAUAAGCUAUUGCGUCUGAUUUACGUAUAAAUAUGACAGCUAUAACGAACGUCGAUCAUUGCAGACUUUAAGCUUGCGACAUGAAGUUCUAUACGCUCCUCGCUUUCGUGCUAGCCAUGCUGGCUAUGGCAUUUGCUAUUCCUAAUCCUGAGCUCCGACCAAUUUCUGAGCUAUAUCCUGGCGGCGGUGGCGGUGGAGGUGGAGGAGGUGGCGGCGGUGGUGGCGGAGGCGGUGGUGGUAAAUAAGGCAGUCAGAGAAGGGUUUAUAUUUGUCUUUAAUUUUUUUUGGAAAACUAUUGUAUUACUUUAAAACAUUUAUACAAUAAACAAAGUAAUAAAUACAUAUAUACAUACACACAAAAAA